CCCGCUGACGAGCGGCGGACGGGUGAGUAACGCGUGGGAAUCUGCCUGGUAGUGGGGGAUAGCCCGGCGAAAGCCGGAUUAAUACCGCAUACGCCCUUUGGGGGAAAGUGGGGGACCUUCGGGCCUCACGCUAUCAGAUGAGCCCGCGUCGGAUUAGCUAGUUGGUGAGGUAAAGGCUCACCAAGGCGAUGAUCCGUAGCUGGUCUGAGAGGAUGAUCAGCCACACUGGGACUGAGACACGGCCCAGACUCCUACGGGAGGCAGCAGUGGGGAAUAUUGGACAAUGGGGGCAACCCUGAUCCAGCCAUGCCGCGUGUGUGAAGAAGGCCUUCGGGUUGUAAAGCACUUUCAGUGGUGAGGAAAGGCAAGCGGUUAAUACCCGUUUGCUGUGACGUUAGCCACAGAAGAAGCACCGGCUAACUCCGUGCCAGCAGCCGCGGUAAUACAGAGGGUGCGAGCGUUAAUCGGAAUUACUGGGCGUAAAGCGCGCGUAGGUGGUUCAGUCAGUCAGAUGUGAAAGCCCCGGGCUUAACCUGGGAACUGCACCUGAUACUGCUGAACUAGAGUACGGUAGAGGGCAGUGGAAUUUCCGGUGUAGCGGUGAAAUGCGUAGAGAUCGGAAGGAACACCAGUGGCGAAGGCGACUGCCUGGACCGAUACUGACACUGAGGUGCGAAAGCGUGGGUAGCAAACAGGAUUAGAUACCCUGGUAGUCCACGCCGUAAACGAUGUCAACUAGCCGUUGGGGGACUUGAUCCUUUAGUGGCGCAGCUAACGCGAUAAGUUGACCGCCUGGGGAGU
This 801-nucleotide ribosomal RNA is filed under the name uncultured bacterium. RNAcentral's name for it is "bacterial SSU rRNA". It matches the Rfam family "Bacterial small subunit ribosomal RNA", at positions 84 to 881 of the family's 1533-position model. The record is from RNAcentral.